Molecule: ribosomal RNA, 1469 nt
Filed under: metagenome
Description: bacterial SSU rRNA
Rfam family: Bacterial small subunit ribosomal RNA
Source: RNAcentral
AGAGUUUGAUUCUGGCUCAGCGCGAACGCUGGCGGCAUGGUUAAAACAUGCAAGUCGAACGCGAAAGGGAGCAAUCCCAAGUAGAGUGGCGGAAGGGCGAGUAACAUAUUCCUAACGUGCCCCAAGGUCAGGGAUAGCUCAUCGAAAGAUGUGGUAAUACCUGAUGACACUGCGAGAUUGAAUGAUUUUGCAGUCAAAGGCUUGCUGCCUUGGGAGCGGGGAAUAUCCUAUCAGCUAGUUGGUGAGGUAAUGGCUCACCAAGGCUAAGACGGGUAGCCGGUGUGAGAGCACGGCCGGCCGCAUCGGGACUGAGACACUGCCCGGACUCCUACGGGAGGCUGCAGUAACGAAUAUUCCACAAUGGGCGCAAGCCUGAUGGAGCAAUGCCGCGUGCAGGAUGAAGCCCCUCGGGGUGUAAACUGCUGUCAGGGUUCAGGAAAUAAAUGACCAGACCCAAAGGAAGAGGCGGCUAACUCUGUGCCAGCAGCCGCGGUAAUACAGAGGCCUCGAGCGUUGCGCGGAAUCACUGGGCUUAAAGGGUGCGUAGGUGGAUACACAAGUGCCUUGUGAAAUCCCAGGGCUCAACCCUGGAACUGCUUGGUAGACUGUGUGUCUUGAGGUCGGUAGGGGUCGCUGGAACAGUUGGUGGAGCGGUGAAAUGCGUAGAUAUCAACUGGAACGCCAAGGCGAAGGCAAGCGACUGGGCCGAUUCUGACACUGAGGCACGAAAGCGUGGGGAGCAAACGGGAUUAGAUACCCCGGUAGUCCACGCCCUAAACGAUGUACACUAGAUCGUGGAGGCUCUGACGCCGUCAUGGUCGAAGCAAAAGUAUUUAGUGUACCGCCUGGGGAGUACGGUCGCAAGAUUAAAACUCAAAGAAAUUGACGGGGGCUCACACAAGCGGUGGAGCAUGUGGCUUAAUUCGAAACAACGCGAAGAACCUUAUCCAAGGCUUGACAUGCACGGAUUAGUUUGCUGAAAGGUGAAUGACACUCGCAAGAGUGGAACGUGCACAGGUGCUGCAUGGCUGUCGUCAGCUCGUGCUGUGAAGUGUCGCGUUAAGUCGCUUAACGAGCGAAACCCCUAUCAUUAGUUGCUACCAGGUAAUGCUGAGGACUCUAAUGAGACUGCCGGUGUCAAACCGGAGGAAGGUGGGGAUGACGUCAAGUCCUCAUGGCCUUUAUGCCUUGGGCUGCACACGUGCUACAAUGCAGCCGACAAUGCGAAGCAAGACCGUAAGGUGGAGCAAAUCACAAAAAAGGUUGCCCAGUUCAGAUUGAGGUCUGCAACCCGACCUCAUGAAGUUGGAAUCGCUAGUAAUCGGGGAUCAGCUACGCCCCGGUGAAUAUGUUCCUGAGCCUUGUACACACCGCCCGUCAAGUCAUGGGAGCCGGGAGCGCCCGAAGUCGCCCUAUUUCAAGGGUGCCAACGGCAAGCUCGGUGACUGGGACUAAGUCGGAACAAGGUA